This 70-nucleotide transfer RNA is filed under the name Ictidomys tridecemlineatus (thirteen-lined ground squirrel). RNAcentral describes it as "Spermophilus tridecemlineatus (thirteen-lined ground squirrel) tRNA". It matches the Rfam family "tRNA". From Rfam's summary of the family: Transfer RNA (tRNA) molecules are approximately 80 nucleotides in length. The record is from Rfam by way of RNAcentral. Lineage: Eukaryota; Metazoa; Chordata; Mammalia; Rodentia; Sciuridae.
GGCUGUAGCUCAGUGGUGGAGCACUUGCCUAGCAAGUGCAAGGCCCUGGGUUUGAUCCCCAGCAUUGCCA